AGUCGAGCGAAUGGAUUGAGAGCUUGCUCUCAUGAAGUUAGCGGCGGACGGGUGAGUAACACGUGGGUAACCUGCCCAUAAGACUGGGAUAACUCCGGGAAACCGGGGCUAAUACCGGAUAACAUUUUGAACUGCAUGGUUCGAAAUUGAAAGGCGGCUUCGGCUGUCACUUAUGGAUGGACCCGCGUCGCAUUAGCUAGUUGGUGAGGUAACGGCUCACCAAGGCAACGAUGCGUAGCCGACCUGAGAGGGUGAUCGGCCACACUGGGACUGAGACACGGCCCAGACUCCUACGGGAGGCAGCAGUAGGGAAUCUUCCGCAAUGGACGAAAGUCUGACGGAGCAACGCCGCGUGAGUGAUGAAGGCUUUCGGGUCGUAAAACUCUGUUGUUAGGGAAGAACAAGUGCUAGUUGAAUAAGCUGGCACCUUGACGGUACCUAACCAGAAAGCCACGGCUAACUACGUGCCAGCAGCCGCGGUAAUACGUAGGUGGCAAGCGUUAUCCGGAAUUAUUGGGCGUAAAGCGCGCGCAGGUGGUUUCUUAAGUCUGAUGUGAAAGCCCACGGCUCAACCGUGGAGGGUCAUUGGAAACUGGGAGACUUGAGUGC
This 609-nucleotide ribosomal RNA is filed under the name Bacillus sp. CH157b. RNAcentral describes it as "bacterial SSU rRNA". It matches the Rfam family "Bacterial small subunit ribosomal RNA", at positions 60 to 649 of the family's 1533-position model. The record is from RNAcentral. Lineage: Bacteria; Bacillati; Bacillota; Bacilli; Caryophanales; Bacillaceae.